This 305-nucleotide ribosomal RNA is filed under the name uncultured bacterium. Its description in RNAcentral is "bacterial SSU rRNA". It matches the Rfam family "Bacterial small subunit ribosomal RNA", at positions 333 to 630 of the family's 1533-position model. The record is from RNAcentral.
GGCAUCCUACGGGGGGCAGCAGUAGGGAAUCUUCCACAAUGGACGAAAGUCCGAUGGAGCAACGCCGCGUGAGUGAAGAAGGUUUUCGGAUCGUAAAGCUCUGUUGUUGGUGAAGAAGGAUAGAGGUAGUAACUGGCCUUUAUUUGACGGUAAUCAACCAGAAAGUCACGGCUAACUACGUGCCAGCAGCCGCGGUAAUACGUAGGUGGCAAGCGUUGUCCGGAUUUAUUGGGCGUAAAGCGAGCGCAGGCGGAAAAAGAAGUCUGAUGUGAAAGCCCUCGGCUCAACCGAGGGAUUGCAUCGGA